RNAcentral lists this ribosomal RNA (583 nucleotides) under Caranx lugubris (black jack). Its description in RNAcentral is "partial 16S ribosomal RNA". It matches the Rfam family "Bacterial large subunit ribosomal RNA", at positions 1849 to 2607 of the family's 2925-position model. The record is from RNAcentral. Lineage: Eukaryota; Metazoa; Chordata; Actinopteri; Carangiformes; Carangidae.
GAGGUCCCGCCUGCCCGGUGACUAUAUGUUUAACGGCCGCGGUAUUUUGACCGUGCGAAGGUAGCGUAAUCACUUGUCUUUUAAAUGGAGACCUGUAUGAAUGGCAUAACGAGGGCUUAACUGUCUCCUCUUUCCAGUCAAUGAAAUUGAUCUCCCCGUGCAGAAGCCGGGAUAAACACAUAAGACGAGAAGACCCUAUGGAGCUUUAGACACCAAGACAGAUCAUGUUAAAUACCCCUUAAUAAAGACCCGAACUUAAUGAUCCCCUGUCCUAAUGUCUUCGGUUGGGGCGACCAUGGGGCAGCACAAAACCCCCAUGCGGACUGGGAGAACAAACCCAAAACCCUUUUCCCAUACUCCCACAAGCAAGAGUUACAACUCUAACUAACAGAAUCUCUGACCUCUUACGAUCCGGCUUCCGCCGAUCAACGGACCAAGUUACCCUAGGGAUAACAGCGCAAUCCCCUUUUAGAGCCCAUAUCGACAAGGGGGUUUACGACCUCGAUGUUGGAUCAGGACAUCCUAAUGGUGCAGCCGCUAUUAAGGGUUCGUUUGUUCAACGAUUAAAGUCCUACGUGAUCUG